ACCGCUAUUGCGUGCGGAGGGACUUUCCGUCAAUGAGAAAUUAUUUUGCGUAGAGUGGACGAUGAGAAACCAUGCUGAAAUGGGACGGAAUAGUGGCAUUUUUGGCGAUUAAUGUUCCAGGAAUUCUAUGUGUUUUUCACACUGCAGAAUGUACAGUCACCACUCCAUGUACAUGAGACAUCAAUGAACAUUUAGGCUUGACUGACCCUGGGUUUCUUUGAAUGACAUGGCGACCAACGAGCAGUAUGCCAAAAUUAUUGUGAAAGCCAUAUUGCUUGUUAUGCAAGCUGUGGGAAUAUUCGUCAGGCCGAGUUCAAAGGUGUUUGGGCGCGCUGCUAAGGAAGCAGCUGACGCGCUCCGAGGAUCCUCAAAAUUGCGGAAAGCGAUGAAAGUCUUUGUCAUAGCCUGGAAUGGAAGUGAUAGUAACUUCUCGAAAACUAAAGCACUUGUCGACCUCAUCAAAGACACUAACGCCGCAGGCAUCCUCAUGACCAUCAUCAAGAACAUAUGUAGCGAGAUGUCUUGGUAUGAGUGGCUUCUCGCAGCAGCUCAAGUUACCGCCAUGAUUACAGCUGUUCUUGCUACCGGCAGGGCUGUUCUGAUAGCUGAGAUUGCCCUCGUUGUCAUGUUGGCUACGGACUUAGCAAUGGACAUUGCUAAUCUUUGACGUAACUUUUCGUGACACUCGGUUUCCCUAUUCAUCUCAGCUUAUACAAGAUUGUCAAGAACACGCUUCUUUAGACAGGCCUGGUGGUCAAUUAUAGAACAUCUGAUGAAGAAAUUGCGAGCGAGUCAGUUUUCUAAAGUUUUCGAUGUCCGAAAUUUGUGUCCGUGGUUGUAGUUGGCUAAUUGAGAUGUAUACAUUAAUAUGUGGGUUUUUUUUGCUUAACUUCUAUAAAAUCAAGAAAACAAUAGAUUUAUGAUCUUUAAACGAAAAGGAAGAAGACAAUGUUAGCUGGAAACGAUAAAUUGCUCAGUAGCGCCGUAGCCUAUGUAUGUUUAAAUGUGUUUUGUUAGUGAAAUAAAUUUAUUCUGAGACUUAAAUACAAAUUUAUGUGUCACGUUACAUUUACCAAAAUAUUCUGAUAUUUGCGAUGUAUA
Patiria miniata (bat star) is the source of this 1101-nucleotide long non-coding RNA. RefSeq lists it as uncharacterized. The record is from RefSeq and is a predicted model, not a curated record. The transcript is spliced from 3 exons. NCBI's taxonomy places the organism in Eukaryota, Metazoa, Echinodermata, Asteroidea, Valvatida, Asterinidae.